AACGAACGCUGGCGGCGCGCCUAACACAUGCAAGUCGAACGAGAAUCCGGGGCAACCCGGUAGUAAAGUGGCAAACGGGUGAGGAAUACAUGGGUAACCUACCCUUGAGAAGGGAAUAACCCGCCGAAAGGUGAGCUAAUACCCUAUACGCUAUCUUUUUUUCGAAAAGGAUUGGAAAGCCGGGUCGAGGACCUGGUACUCAAGGAGGGGCUCAUGUCCUAUCAGCUUGUUGGUGGGGUAACGGCCUACCAAGGCUACGACGGGUAGCUGGUCUGAGAGGAUGAUCAGCCACACUGGCACUGAGAUACGGGCCAGACUCCUACGGGAGGCAGCAGUGAGGAAUAUUGCGCAAUGGGCGAAAGCCUGACGCAGCGACGCCGCGUGGGGGAUGAAGGUUUUCGGAUUGUAAACCCCUUUCAUGAGGAAGAGUAAAGUGGGUAACCACUUAGACGGUACCUCAAGAAGAAGCCACGGCUAACUUCGUGCCAGCAGCCGCGGUAAUGUCUAGC
RNAcentral lists this ribosomal RNA (509 nucleotides) under uncultured bacterium. Its description in RNAcentral is "bacterial SSU rRNA". It matches the Rfam family "Bacterial small subunit ribosomal RNA", at positions 29 to 531 of the family's 1533-position model. The record is from RNAcentral.